RNAcentral lists this ribosomal RNA (253 nucleotides) under uncultured bacterium. RNAcentral describes it as "partial 16S ribosomal RNA". It matches the Rfam family "Bacterial small subunit ribosomal RNA", at positions 524 to 776 of the family's 1533-position model. The record is from RNAcentral.
UACGUAGGGUGCGAGCGUUAAUCGGAAUUACUGGGCGUAAAGCGUGCGUAGGCGGUUCGUUAAGUUCGUUGUGAAAGCCCCGGGCUCAACCUGGGAAUUGCAUUCGAGACUGCAUUGCUGGAGUACGGAAGAGGAGGGCGGAAUUCCCGGUGUAGCGGUGAAAUGCGUAGAUAUCGGGAGGAACAUCAGUGGCGAAGGCGGCCCUCUGGUCCAGUACUGACACUCAAGUGCGAAAGCGUGGGGAGCAAACAGG